AAUUUUUUCAUGCUUCAAAGCUCGUUAAGACUAGAUGGGGUAUCCCUACAUAGCGGCUGGGACCCAUGGCGAAUGGUUCAUCAAGUCUUAAAAAAAGAAUAUAUACGAUUGCAUUACAUAUACUAACGUAUGCGAUCAUACCAGCACUAAUACACGAGAUCCCAUCAGAACUCCGCAGUUAAGCGUGCUUGGGCGAAUAUUGUACUAGGAUGGGUGACCUCCCGGGAAGUCCUCUGUUGCAUCCCUCUUUUUUUUUAAUUUGUUUUUUUUGGUUAAAACUUUAUGACUCUAUAACUUUUAUACCGUGAGGCCAAACUAGGCAUGUGAUACCUUUUCGGAUAUCCCAAAGAGACCCUCCACGAAGAAACGGACAACGAACUUUUCCUUGACUUUUGCCGACCACAAUUUGACCUUAACUACUUUUCGGGAAAUCAC
This 435-nucleotide ribosomal RNA is filed under the name Arabidopsis thaliana (thale cress). Lineage: Eukaryota; Viridiplantae; Streptophyta; Magnoliopsida; Brassicales; Brassicaceae. The record is from RNAcentral.